CAGUAGCCGCGGGAAUACGUAGGUGGCAAGCGUUGUCCGGAAUUAUUGGGCGUAAAGGGCUCGCAGGCGGUUUCUUAAGUCUGAUGUGAAAGCCCCCGGCUCAACCGGGGAGGGUCAUUGGAAACUGGGAAACUUGAGUGCAGAGGAGGAGAGUGGAAUUCCACGUGUAGCGGUGAAAUGCGUAGAGAUGUGGAGGAACACCAGUGGCGAAGGCGACUCUCUGGUCUGUAACUGACGCUGAGGAGCGAAAGCGUGGGGAGCGAACAGGAUUAGAUACCCCGGUAGUCCCUGUCUCUUAUAC
Molecule: ribosomal RNA, 301 nt
Filed under: uncultured bacterium
Lineage: Bacteria
Description: partial 16S ribosomal RNA
Rfam family: Bacterial small subunit ribosomal RNA
Source: RNAcentral